RNAcentral lists this transfer RNA (66 nucleotides) under Ursus sp. (bear). RNAcentral describes it as "tRNA-Pro". Lineage: Eukaryota; Metazoa; Chordata; Mammalia; Carnivora; Ursidae. RNAcentral also lists the same sequence under 1 other name. The record is from RNAcentral.
CAGGGAAUAGUUUAAACAGAACAUUAGCUUUGGGUGCUGAUAGUGGGGCUGUUGCUUCUUCCUUGA